Molecule: ribosomal RNA, 670 nt
Filed under: uncultured Fusobacteriota bacterium
Lineage: Bacteria; Fusobacteriati; Fusobacteriota
Description: bacterial SSU rRNA
Rfam family: Bacterial small subunit ribosomal RNA
Source: RNAcentral
GAUGAACGCUGACAGAAUGCUUAACACAUGCAAGUCUACUUGAUCCUUCGGGUGAAGGUGGCGGACGGGUGAGUAACGCGUAAAGAACUUGCCUUACAGACUGGGACAACAUUUGGAAACGAAUGCUAAUACCGGAUAUUAUGACUGAGUCGCAUGAUUUGGUUAUGAAAGCUAUAUGCGCUGUGAGAGAGCUUUGCGUCCCAUUAGUUAGUUGGUGAGGUAACGGCUCACCAAGACGAUGAUGGGUAGCCGGCCUGAGAGGGUGAACGGCCACAAGGGGACUGAGACACGGCCCUUACUCCUACGGGAGGCAGCAGUGGGGAAUAUUGGACAAUGGACCAAAAGUCUGAUCCAGCAAUUCUGUGUGCACGAUGAAGUUUUUCGGAAUGUAAAGUGCUUUCAGUUGGGAAGAAGUCAGUGACGGUACCAACAGAAGAAGCGACGGUAAAUACGUGCCAGCAGCCGCGGUACUACGUAUGUCGCAAGCGUAUCCGGAUUUAUUGGGCGUAAAGCGCGUCUAGGCGGUUUAGUACGUCUGAUGUGACAAUGCGGGGCUCNAACCCCGUAUUGCGUUGGAACACUGCUACAACUAAGUACUGGAGAGGUAGGCGGAACUAACACAGUGUACGAGGUGACCAUACGAACGAUAUCGGCAGGAACUGCCGCUGGG